CGUUCUUCGGUGCUCCUCCGGGACGAACAGUAAAGGCACAUGAAGGUAUUGGCUCUUACUAUCGAUCGGAUGGAGAGAACGGGAGGCAGCAGUGGGGAAUUUUCUGCAAUGGACGAAAGCCUGACGGAGCAAUGCCGCGUGGAGGUAGAAGGCCCACGGGUCGUGAACUUCUUUUCCCGGAGAAGAAGCAAUGACGGUAUCUUGGGAAUAAGCAUCGGCUAACUCUGUGCCAGCAGCUGCGGUAAUACAGAGGAUGCAAGCGUUAUCCGGAAUGAUUGGGCAUGAGGGACUUGGUAAUUGAACCAUCAGAUAACUUAUAGU
Molecule: non-coding RNA, 321 nt
Filed under: Solanum lycopersicum (tomato)
Lineage: Eukaryota; Viridiplantae; Streptophyta; Magnoliopsida; Solanales; Solanaceae
Description: Bacterial small subunit ribosomal RNA
Rfam family: Bacterial small subunit ribosomal RNA
Source: Rfam by way of RNAcentral